AAGUGAAAGAAGCCAGGCGCAAGAGAGUGUGAGCUGCCUCGUUCCAUUUAUUCCAAGUUCUAGAACAGGAAAAACUAACCUGUAGUGAGAGAAGGCCUAGGGUGGUGUGUAGGGGGCUGGCUGCAAAGAGGCACAACAGAUCGUUUUUGGGGAGGGUGAAAUGCUGUGUGUCUUGAUUCAGGAGAUGGUUUCAAAGGUGUACACAUCACUGAACUGUACAUUUAAAAUGUAUGUAUGUAAAUUAUACCUCAAUAAAGUCAUUUUUUAAAGGUGAGGUAUUUUGGGGUUUUCUUAACUUCCCUUUAAAACUUGUAAUGUUGCUGGGCGCAGUGGCUCACGCCUGUAAUUCCAGCACUUUCGGAGGCUGAGGCAGGCAGAUCACCUGAGGUCGGGAGUUCGAGACCAGCCUGAUCAACAUGGAGAAACCCUAUCUCUACUAAAACUGGGCAAAAAUAGCGAAACUCCAUGUCAAAAAAAGUAAAUAAAUAAAAUAAAAUAAAACAAAACUUGUAAUGUUUAUACUUAAAAUAGCAUUAUCCAAUUUUCCUCUAUAAAUACUAUAAGUAAAUCAUAUUACGGAAAUGCCGUGUACCAACUACCACAAGCAAGCACAUCUGGUUCCUACCUUCGCGUUUCAUCUUUAGGGACACCUACUAGAAAGUGGAGUUUUACUUGAAUGCCCUUGGAUUUCUAUUCCAAGCAUGGUUCUAUGUUAACUUUUAAGAAAUGGAAUCAUUGAUAAAGUUAACAAGGCAGAAGAAAAAGCUCUAAGAAACCAAAGAAAAAUUGGCAUAGUUACCAUGUGUCUCAGGGCUGGAGGACCACCUGGCCUUGCUGGCCUCUUACACCAGAGCCUGGGCCAUAGCUCAUAAUUUUGCUGAUAUUGGCAUCUUUUAACUUUGGAGUGUUUUUAAAAAUCAGUUACUAUAACAAGCUCUCAUUAAAAUUUAUUUUUCAGCCAGGCACGGUGGCUCUGUAAUCCCAGCUACUCGGGAGGCUAAGGCAGGAGAAUUGUUUGAACCCAGGAGGCGGAGGUUGCAGUGAGCCAAGAUGGUGCCAUUGCACUGCAGCCUGGGCAACAAGAGCAAAAAAAAACCUCCGUCAAUUCGAGACCAGCCUGACCAACAUGGAGAAACGCCAUCUCUACUAAAAAUAUAAAAUUAGCCGGGCAUGGUGGCACAUGCCUGUAAUCUCAGAUACUCAAGAGGCUGAGGCAGGAGAAUCACUUGAACCCGGGAGGCAGAGGUUUUGUAUUUUUAGUAGAGACGGGGUUUGCAUUAAGGGGAUGGUGUUAGACCAUUACUGAGAAACCGCCCCCAUGACCUGGUCACCUCCCACCAGGCACCACCUCCAACAGUGGGGAUUACAAUCUGAUGUGGGAUUUGAUGGGGAAACAUAUCCAUAUUACAAAGAUAGUACAGGGAGUUCCCUCAUACCUCACACUCAGUUUGCCUUCUUACCAUCUUACAUUAGUCUGAUACAUUGUCACAACUGAUGAAUCAGUAUGGAUACAUUAUUAUUAAUCUAGGUCCACUGUUUAGUGCAAUUUCCUUAGUUUUUCCUUAACAUCUUUUCCUGUUCCGAGAUCCUAUCCAGCAUAUCCCAUUACAUUUUGUCAUCCUUUCUCCUGUAGGCUCCAUUUGGACAUGACACGUUCUCAGACUUUCCUUGUU
This 1673-nucleotide long non-coding RNA is filed under the name Homo sapiens (human). RNAcentral's name for it is "non-protein coding lnc-SLC22A23-2:1". Lineage: Eukaryota; Metazoa; Chordata; Mammalia; Primates; Hominidae. The record is from RNAcentral.